Long non-coding RNA from Dermacentor albipictus, 1863 nucleotides. RefSeq lists it as uncharacterized. Lineage: Eukaryota; Metazoa; Arthropoda; Arachnida; Ixodida; Ixodidae. The record is from RefSeq and is a predicted model, not a curated record.
UAAAGCCACCACCGCCGGCAUAACGCGGAACCAACUGUUGGCAACAUUCAUUCGCGCGUCAUUGCUUCGUCCGCGUCGUCUCCGCAACGAGAGCCGCCAUCUUCUCGCGCCUAACGUUUUGUAUGGUUUUGUUCUCUGCAAUCCGCGCACACAGCUCAUCGGUGGCUGCACGUCUGCUCGGCGUCACAAUGCGGCCUGCGUCAUUUUCUGGUGCUCGCGCAAUCGGUGUGAAACAUGUCGCAUGUGAAAUGUUUGAUAGAAGUGCCUCACGUCCAAGUCAAGCCGCCGCACGGGUGUAUGGCUGUGCGCCCCGUUCUCGGAAGCGUCGACGGGUUUCCGGCAUGCGGAUUUCAGCGUUUGGACUCUACUUUUGUUGAGGAUGUCGAUCGACCUUGGGCCUGGCGACAGCACACCCGACAUCGCCAAAGUGCAGCCUAUCAGUUGAGUGCCCCCGAACGGACCAUCAACAUUGGAAAAUGAAGCAGAGCCAGGGGGAAAAGGUUCCGGUAACACUGCAUUCAGUAUGGUGGCCCAGACGUGUAUGCAAGCAACCUCCUUCAUGUGGACCAAGAACUACUCUGCAGUGUCUCACAGACUUCCAUGCGAAGCCCUCAACAUUCUCGUCUCAGUGGAAUGGCUGCUCAUCUAUCUGCGUGUCCAUCACCAAGAUGGCCAGUUGUAAAGCUCCUGUACCCGUUUAAGACAGCUUAAUGAUUUUUUUAUUUAGUUUUCAUGGUUGGCCGUAGAAUCUUAACAUUUUUGAUGUUUCUAACGUUUUUACCUGGCCCAAAGUGGUGCAAUAACUUUAAACCAGUGUAAUGUAUUUAAGUGAUGCUCACUCUAAUGCCUAUCUGGUUUUGUUUGUGUUUAAGAAAUUUGAAUGUCUGAUGAGGUAACUGCAUUUAAACUUGUCAUCGUGGCUCUUUUCAGUGAGCUGCUAGGAAAUAAGAUGCAAAACUUAUCACACGCCAGUUGUAGCAUUUUUGUUUUCAAGACUAAAGUAUACAUGUUUCAAAAGAUGGAAAGUGGGGAAAAAAGCCUCAAGAACAUAAUCAUCCUAGGAUUGUCAUGUCCUUACAACUCUGCAAUGACUAAUGCCUCAUACAUCUUGGGAGCACAUUGGUCGCAAUGCCUACAGGUAUACUUGAUAAGUGAAUAGCUUGCACUCAGAUUUGCCACGCAGUUGAUGGCUGGUAGCUUUUGUUUGUCGUCUGCAUGUUACUACUAUGUAUUCAAUAUUCAUUUACAUGUGCUGCGGUUUUUUGCAGUCACACACACACACACACACACACACACACACACACACACACACACACACACACACACACACACACACACACACACACACACACACACACACACACACACACACACACACACACACACACACACACACACACACACACACACACACACACACACACAUAUAUAUAUUCUUCGUUUCAAUAAAAAUUUAGUUGAGAGUUAGCGCUCAUCCUGUCUGCUUCUAGUCUGUGUCCGUGUCACUUCGCGCUACAAUCCAAGAUCAGGUUACUGUACCAACUUGCCCAACUUUUUCUCCUUGUGUUAAAGACACACUCAGACUUGUUCUUACUUAUGUGACCGGUUAUUUUUGUGCUUUAUAAUAAGAUGCAGUGCUUUUCAAAUGAAAUCAUGUGAUAGUUCGUAGUGAGGUUAUUUAAAAAAACUGUUCUGCUUAAAAUUUAAUUGAGCAAGCCUGUGCCAUUAUUCGGUGCUUAUGUCUUUGUAUUGGUAUGGUUUUACUCAUCUUCCUUUUUACUUUUAAAAUGUGCAAACAUUAUUAUGUAACCAUUUCUCUUGAAUGAAAUAAAUACUUCUGACAUUUCGUCACAAAUUUUACAA